GAUGAACGCUGGCGGCGUGCCUAAUACAUGCAAGUCGAGCGAACAGACGAGGAGCUUGCUCCUCUGACGUUAGCGGCGGACGGGUGAGUAACACGUGGAUAACCUACCUAUAAGACUGGGAUAACUUCGGGAAACCGGAGCUAAUACCGGAUAAUAUAUUGAACCGCAUGGUUCAAUAGUGAAAGACGGUUUUGCUGUCACUUAUAGAUGGAUCCGCGCCGCAUUAGCUAGUUGGUAAGGUAACGGCUUACCAAGGCAACGAUGCGUAGCCGAACUGAGAGGGUGAUCGGACACACUGGAACUGAGACACGGUCCAGACUCCUACGGGAGGCAGCAGUAGGGAAUCUUCCGCAAUGGGCGAAAGCUUGACGGAGCAACGCCGCGUGAGUGAUGAAGGUCUUCGGAUCGUAAAACUCUGUUAUUAGGGAAGAACAAAUGUGUAAGUAACUAUGCACGUCUUGACGGUACCUAAUCAGAAAGCCACGGCUAACUACGUG
This 497-nucleotide ribosomal RNA is filed under the name uncultured bacterium. Its description in RNAcentral is "partial 16S ribosomal RNA". It matches the Rfam family "Bacterial small subunit ribosomal RNA", at positions 28 to 507 of the family's 1533-position model. The record is from RNAcentral.